Lupinus angustifolius (narrow-leaved blue lupine) is the source of this 194-nucleotide microRNA precursor. It matches the Rfam family "MIR159 microRNA precursor family". The record is from Rfam. Lineage: Eukaryota; Viridiplantae; Streptophyta; Magnoliopsida; Fabales; Fabaceae.
AAUAGUUUAAGAGAGCUUCCUUCAGCCCACUCAUGGAUGGGUAAAAAGUUUGAAUUAGCUGCUGAAUCAUUCAUUCAAACACAAUAGAUCAAGCAUCAUGAUAUGCUAUUGUGAAUGUGUGAAUGAUGCAGGAGCUAGAUUUCUUCCUUUUCUUAUCUGUACUUGGACUGAAGGGAGCUCCCUUUUACCGAACU